AUACGGAGGGUGCAAGCGUUAAUCGGAAUUACUGGGCGUAAAGCGCGCGUAGGCGGUUUGUUAAGUCGGAUGUGAAAGCCCCGGGCUUAACCUGGGAAUGCCAUUCGAUACUGCUUGGCUAGAGUAUGAUAGAGGAAAGUGGAAUUCCGCAUGUAGCGGUGAAAUGCGUAGAUAUGCGGAAGAACACCAACGGCGAAGGCAACUUUCUGGAUCAAUACUGACGCUGAGGAGCGAAAGCGUGGGGAGCAAACAGGAUUAGAAACCCCAGUAGUCC
Molecule: ribosomal RNA, 274 nt
Filed under: uncultured bacterium
Lineage: Bacteria
Description: partial 16S ribosomal RNA
Rfam family: Bacterial small subunit ribosomal RNA
Source: RNAcentral